Onychomys torridus (southern grasshopper mouse) is the source of this 721-nucleotide long non-coding RNA. RefSeq lists it as uncharacterized. The record is from RefSeq and is a predicted model, not a curated record. NCBI's taxonomy places the organism in Eukaryota, Metazoa, Chordata, Mammalia, Rodentia, Cricetidae. The transcript is spliced from 3 exons.
AAACCAUGUCUUGAAAAACCAAAAGAAAGAAAAAGAAAAGAAAGUGUCCCCGGAGCCGAGGUGGACUGCUGGGAAGGGUCCUGCAGUCUGGGUUCGCCUGCAUUGGCUGUAAGAAGCAUCAUUCUUUCAUGUGAAUGAAACAAAGCCACACUGAAGACAGAAUGAAUGCAUGAGGAGGCGACAAGACCACUCCCUCCUCAGCACACCUCAGCUUUGACAAUGUAAACAUCAGGUAUCUGGAAGACUAUUCAAAAGGUACUAAUGCUGUGUCAACAACUCUCCGUGGGCAAGUGGAACUGUGCCAGAUUCCAGUCUCAGAUCUAAGGAAAAUGGCAAAUUCUCCUCCAUGUCUCUUUUGGAGUAUGAGUUUUGCCACUCACCCACCAUCCUGAUUGGAGGCUCAAAUGGUUCCACGAAGAGAAUACAUGCAGCUAUACCAUGGAUGGUCCUUGUAGGAGUCUCAACUGUGAGCCAGCAUCGCAUGCAGACAUGCAAGGGAAUGAGCCUCCCAGUGACUCCAGCCCUCACCCAUGGCAUCACAACUCUCCCCCAGGCUAAGCUAUCUGAAGCCACGGGAAACAGAGACUAAAUGCCUUUUGCAUAUCUGCUCAAAUUAUGUUUGGAGUUUUUAAUUGUCAUUACUGAUGAGAUCCUUACUUUCCAGACAACCAAGGAGAUCCCAUUUUGCUUUUCCAUUGUUUGUUUUCACAACAGGGUCUCA